Molecule: ribosomal RNA, 492 nt
Filed under: uncultured bacterium
Lineage: Bacteria
Description: partial 16S ribosomal RNA
Rfam family: Bacterial small subunit ribosomal RNA
Source: RNAcentral
AGUGAACGCUGGCGGUAGGCCUAACACAUGCAAGUCGAACGGCAGCACAGUAAGAGCUUGCUCUUACGGGAGGCGAGUGGCGGACGGGUGAGGAAUACAUCGGAAUCUACUUUUUCGUGGGGGAUAACGUAGGGAAACUUACGCUAAUACCGCAUACGACCUACGGGUGAAAGCAGGGGAUCUUCGGACCUUGCGCGAUUGAAUGAGCCGAUGUCGGAUUAGCUAGUUGGCGGGGUAAAGGCCCACCAAGGCGACGAUCCGUAGCUGGUCUGAGAGGAUGAUCGGCCACACUGGAACUGAGACACGGUCCAGACUCCUACGGGAGGCAGCAGUGGGGAAUAUUGGACAAUGGGCGCAAGCCUGAUCCAGCCAUACCGCGUGGGUGAAGAAGGCCUUCGGGUUGUAAAGCCCUUUUGUUGGGAAAGAAAAGCAGCAGGUUAAUACCCCGCUGUUCUGACGGUACCCAAAGAAGAAGCACCGGCUAACUUCGUG